Molecule: unclassified non-coding RNA, 250 nt
Filed under: plant metagenome
Description: partial contains small subunit ribosomal RNA, internal transcribed spacer 1, and 5.8S ribosomal RNA
Source: RNAcentral
GUAGGUGAACCUGCGGAAGGAUCAUUAACACGUAUCCAAACGUAAAACCCCCCCGUGAAUAUUGAACGCCUUGCUCUCGCGAUCGGCUUUUGGAAUGGUCUUGGGAUGUUCUUGCGACAUGAUGCGCGCCCCGCUGGUAACUCACAUUUGACUCAGCGUGCCGCGCAACUAGCGAGAUAGUUUCGAUGAUAGUUUCAACCCUUUUUCGAUGAUGCGGCACUGUUUACAAAAAGGCUCGGUUGCCCCUGUU